RNAcentral lists this long non-coding RNA (563 nucleotides) under Aedes aegypti (yellow fever mosquito). RNAcentral describes it as "lncRNA AAEL026444". Lineage: Eukaryota; Metazoa; Arthropoda; Insecta; Diptera; Culicidae. The record is from RNAcentral.
GGGAUUUGAGAAAUUUCGGGAUUUCCCGAUUCCCGGGAUUUUAGAACCAACGUCCCGUGAAUCCCGGGAUUUCCCGACAUGAACUUAAAGCUUGAAAAGGACCUCUAAAUUUUGAAGCAAAACAAAAAAUUUCACCUCAGACUCACACUUCAUUCAUUAAAAUAAUAAAGCAUCAUAAAGUUGUAAAAGUUUGUUGUUGCGUUUCCUUUCAACAUCAGCUGUUUUUAUAAGCCUUUAGGCUGAGAAUGCCAAUCUGGAAUAACACCUAAACUUGAGUCGAAACCUUUCGGUUAUUAAACUUUAACAUGAUCCACUAAAACACCUUCAAUGAUCUUGAAACAGUUUCUUUUUCCCUUCAAAAUUGUGAAGGCUUUUCAAAUGUCUGAAGUAAAUUGUUGUAAUAUUAUUUAUUUAAUGUUAUUGAAUUGUUUUAAUAUUAUUUAUUGAAAGCCCGUAAUUAGUCAUGGUAAGCCUUGAUUUUUGUUUAGUUGCAGUUGCUCCACAAUUAUGGAUACCUAGCACAAAGAUAUGAUUCAAAAUUGGAAUUAACAGAGAAUAUCUUA